UACGAAGGGGGCUAGCGUUGCUCGGAAUCACUGGGCGUAAAGCGCACGUAGGCGGAUUGCUAAGUCAGGGGUGAAAUCCUGGAGCUCAACUCCAGAACUGCCUUUGAUACUGGCGACCUUGAGUCCGGGAGAGGUGAGUGGAACUGCGAGUGUAGAGGUGAAAUUCGUAGAUAUUCGUAAGAACACCAGUGGCGAAGGCGGCUCACUGGCCCGGUACUGACGCUGAGGUGCGAAAGCCAGGGGAGCAAACGGG
Molecule: ribosomal RNA, 253 nt
Filed under: uncultured bacterium
Lineage: Bacteria
Description: partial 16S ribosomal RNA
Rfam family: Bacterial small subunit ribosomal RNA
Source: RNAcentral